GUGCUCGCUUUGGCAGAAUAUAUAUUAAAAUUGGAGCAAUACAGAGAAGAUCAGCAUGGCCCCUCCUCAACAAUGACAUGCAAAUUCAUGAAGAUUUCAUAUUUUUG
Molecule: small nuclear RNA, 107 nt
Organism: Suncus etruscus (white-toothed pygmy shrew)
Lineage: Eukaryota; Metazoa; Chordata; Mammalia; Eulipotyphla; Soricidae
Source: RefSeq, a predicted model, not a curated record